UAAGACAGAGGGUGCAAACGUUGUUCGGAAUUACUGGGCGUAAAGCGCGCGUAGGCAGCAGCGUGUGUCGGGCGUGAAAUCCCACGGCUCAACCGUGGAAGUGCACUCGAAACUGCGCAGCUAGAGUCUCGGAGAGGAAGGCGGAAUGCUUGGUGUAGAGGUGAAAUUCGUAGAUAUCAAGCGGAACACCGGUGGCGAAGGCGGCCUUCUGGACGAUGACUGACGCUGAAGCGCGAAAGCGUGGGGAGCAAACAGGAUUAGAUACCCUGGUAGUCCACGCCGUAAACGAUGAGUGCUAGGUGUCACGGGCUUUGACCCUCGUGGUGCCGCAGCUAACGCGUUAAGCACUCCGCCUGGGGAGUACGGCCGCAAGGCUA
Molecule: ribosomal RNA, 377 nt
Filed under: uncultured bacterium
Lineage: Bacteria
Description: bacterial SSU rRNA
Rfam family: Bacterial small subunit ribosomal RNA
Source: RNAcentral